UUUUUUGUAGUAUAUUCUUAUUACGUUAGUCUUUCAAACUAAAAAAAGUCUUUAGGUCUC
This 60-nucleotide transfer RNA is filed under the name Xylophaga oregona. RNAcentral's name for it is "tRNA-Glu". Lineage: Eukaryota; Metazoa; Mollusca; Bivalvia; Myida; Xylophagaidae. The record is from RNAcentral.